This is a non-coding RNA of Anaerobacillus alkalilacustris, 177 nucleotides long. The record is from Rfam. NCBI's taxonomy places the organism in Bacteria, Bacillati, Bacillota, Bacilli, Caryophanales, Bacillaceae.
AGAGUCCUGAGGUGUUCGUAGGAUACUAUACGUUUUGAGCCAACACUUUUAAUAUGGGAGCUUGAAGUUUUAGCUUGGCGUGCAGGCCUUCUUGAAAGGAAGUACAAGAAGUUAAACAGGGCACCCACCUGCGAGAGCAGGUUCAAAACUAUGUUUUUACGGCACAUUGGGACUCUA